Long non-coding RNA from Cololabis saira (Pacific saury), 366 nucleotides. RefSeq lists it as uncharacterized. The transcript has 6 exons. Lineage: Eukaryota; Metazoa; Chordata; Actinopteri; Beloniformes; Belonidae. The record is from RefSeq and is a predicted model, not a curated record.
UGAUAGCGAUCGUUUUCACGAGGGCCCAUGUGACCAGUGUCUCGCGAGAGUUUUUCACACGAGGCUGCGGAAAGCAUUUGCGAGGCGUGUAUUUAGAUCCACAAAGAACGUGUCUGUUGACGAGCUGAGGCCCGACACUAAACAGCAGUGCAGCGGGAGAUUAAAGGCUGUCGAGUGGCGUUUGACUUCCUGCUGUGCGUGUCUUUGGCGUGCAGGUGGCACACCGGAGUGAGAGAGUCGAUUGAACUUCAGAAAAACACAGCCGAGAUGACUCACAGAGUGCAAAAAUGGCGAAAACUCAAAAGAAACCUAGAGCAACUUCUCAGACGUUCAGACAGUAGCGAUCAGGAUAGUGCUAGCGAGAAU